Long non-coding RNA from Bombyx mori (domestic silkworm), 2594 nucleotides. RefSeq lists it as uncharacterized. The record is from RefSeq and is a predicted model, not a curated record. NCBI's taxonomy places the organism in Eukaryota, Metazoa, Arthropoda, Insecta, Lepidoptera, Bombycidae. The transcript has 2 exons.
GUGGUAGCUGUGGGAAAAAGAAUAAUAAUUAUGUUGUACGUUACUGAAUGAAAUUUGGCUAAUUUUAUACUACGAGUAUAGUUAAAUAUGGUAUAAUUAUAUAGUAAAAUAGGUUAAUUUUUUUUAUCACAAUAAUAUGUUAUUCCUUCGUCAUGAAAAUUAAUAGCGGAGAUGUGUUAAGUAUUUUAUUUAAAAAAAAAAGUAGCUGCACUUGGUAUUUGAACACUGACAUGGUCACAUUGCUCGAGACGUAUACACUUACUGGUGAUAGGACCUUUUGUGAGUCCGCGCGGGUAGUUAUCACCACCUUGCCUAUUUCUGUCGUGAAGCAGUAAUGCGUUUCGGUUUGAAGGGUGGGGCAGCUGUUGUAACUAUACUUGAGACCUUAGAAUUUAUAUCUCAAGUUGGGUGGCGCAUUUACGUCGUAGAUGUCUAUGGGCUUCAGUAACCACUUCACACCAGGUGGGCUAUGAGCUCGUCCACUCAUCUAAGCAAUAAAUAAAAAAACACUGGGCGUCUUAUCUUUUAGACCACGACAACUUCAGAUAAGUAAAUAAUGUAAUGCCUUAAAAUCAAAGUGUAUAAUAUAUAUUUUAUUUAUUUAAUUCAGAAUCAAAACUUAAGGCAGCUCUUGGGCCCACAUUAGCGCGUUCGAAAAUUUCAUUUCAGACACAUAAAUCACAAAGAUUAAACAGAGCACAGAGUUUAAAUAUGUAGCAACUCACUUGUGGGUGGCUCGUUCAGGGUACACAUACUUCAAGUUUUUCUUCAUGUGAUCCACCGAAGACAUCAUCACCUGUACCACCACGAAAGUACACGAUGCUGCAAUAACAAUUUUCAUAAAAAAGAAAUCCUUUCAUUUCCUCUGAAAUAAGUCGAAAAAAUAUUAUAAUAAAAAGAACUUCGACUAUUUUCAACGAUAAAAUAUAAUAAAAUUAUUUCGAAAAGGGUUAACUCCUUCAAGCAUAGUUGUUUUGACAUGAACUUAUAUAAAUGUCACUUCAAGUGAACGAGUGGCACGAAAUCGAGGCGCCUUCUAAGAAUUUCUCAAGUGAUUCAGAGCGUGAAUUUUGUUAGAAAAUAAUCGAACCCUUCAUUAGGUAUUUAUUAUAUUCAACUUAAAAUCUAAUCGUGUAUUUAUUUUAUAAUAUAUUUUGCUGUGGUCUACAAAACAUCAAAAGAACACAUUUUAAGAAAAAGUCCAAAACGAAUUAAAAUUUCUUCGUUACAAGAAGAGAAAUUGAAAAAUUUUACGAAGACAUUGAAUAUGCUCACACCAACACGGAAGGAAAGGGCAGAAAUAGGCGGGGAGGUGGUACCGACCCGUGUGGACUUACAAGACGCCCUAGUACCAGCAAAAAUUAAAUAUUCUGAAUUGAAAAAAACUCCAUAAAACAACGCUGUGCACUAAACAUACCAAACAUUCAAUGUUUUCCCGGGCUUAUCUCAUACGAAUGCUGGAAAUCAUAUCCACGUUGGCUCUGUUAUUGAUGAGAUCAGAGUGCACAGUGACGUAGAUAAACAAAAAACAAACAGUUUUCGAUUUAUUGAUAGGCUAGAUUAAGUUAUUAACUUUUAAAAGGGUUUCCAAUAAAAGUUGAUUGUAUUUAAGACUGCUUUAUUUAAAGUCAGCUUUGCACCAUAACUGUGGUUUCGCAAGAAAGCAAUAAAGAGAAAAUAACUGCUUAUUUAACCUUGAAACAUUACUGAAAAGUUUUGUAUAUUUAGUUAAAAAUUACAUUUUUCAUGUUUUCCUUUUGUGUGUCACAGCUAUGUAGGUAUUUUCUUUAUCUUUGUUUCCUUUUACUCUUUUGGUUGUUUUAUCUUAAAAUUUAUAACAGACUUUUUGUGUGUUUGCAUAAAUAAUAAAAGCUGCCAGUUGGUAGCUUUGUCAAAAAUAUUUGUGGAAGCACUGGAAGAGACUACUUAUUGAAAUAAGUAACGUCUUUGAACCUAAAAUUUUUAUUAUUUUCUCCUUUAAUUUUUUUCGUGAUUUUUUAGUAAAGGUAUUUAGUUUUCUAAAGUCUGGCUGUAGUUAGUCUUUCUUUGUCUGUGUUUUCAGCAUAUACAUAUACUUAAUAUAAUUGAAUCAUAUCUGGGGACGAUUUCAUAUGGAACAUUAAACUUUAAAUAAUUCUGAAGAAAUGUUUAGGUAAGAUAGAUACUUACUAGCUAUAUUCACGUCAUAGGCUGGAUCAGCCGGUCUACCGUUCUCCAUAACUGGCUGUGAGAGAUAAUUUGUGCAUACUGAAACAAUAAUUCAUUAGUAAAACACUCCAUCCAAAAAGUCUAGGACCUCUCGAUUGGCGGAGAGUUCCUUGGCCGUGAUAAUUUUGUUACCCACAUCCAAAAUAAGGAGGAGGCUCUCAAUUCCAUUAUUUUUUUAUGUGUUAUCUCGGAAUGUUUUUUACUUCUCAUAUGGUUCUAUUGAAAUCAUCACAACCUGAAGUUUUUGUGUUAUCCUUAUCCUUAAAUAAGCAUUAUGCAUAUUGGAUACGCAUUAUGCAUAUUUUAUUGACAUUGAAUACAUUGCUGAAAUUCUCAUUUUGUUGUAGUCGUACCAAUUUUUUUAAAUAAAAAUAUUAUACUUUCUA